UACAGAGGUCUCAAGCGUUGUUCGGAAUCACUGGGCGUAAAGGGUGCGUAGGUGGCGGGGAAAGUCAGAUGUGAAAUCCGGAGGCUCAACCUCCGAAUUGCAUCCGAUACUCCCUCGCUAGAGAUUUGUAGAGGAGCUUGGAAUUCUCGGUGUAGCAGUGAAAUGCGUAGAUAUCGAGAAGAACGCUCGCAGCGAAGGCGAAGCUCUGGGCAAUUUCUGACACUGAUGCACGAAGGCUAGGGGAGCAAACGGG
Molecule: ribosomal RNA, 253 nt
Filed under: uncultured bacterium
Lineage: Bacteria
Description: partial 16S ribosomal RNA
Rfam family: Bacterial small subunit ribosomal RNA
Source: RNAcentral